RNAcentral lists this ribosomal RNA (303 nucleotides) under uncultured bacterium. Its description in RNAcentral is "partial 16S ribosomal RNA". It matches the Rfam family "Bacterial small subunit ribosomal RNA", at positions 507 to 807 of the family's 1533-position model. The record is from RNAcentral.
AGCAGUAGCCGCGGGAAUAUGUAGGUGGCAAGCGUUGUCCGGAAUUAUUGGGCGUAAAGGGCUCGCAGGCGGUUUCUUAAGUCUGAUGUGAAAGCCCCCGGCUCAACCGGGGAGGGUCAUUGGAAACUGGGAAACUUGAGUGCAGAAGAGGAGAGUGGAAUUCCACGUGUAGCGGUGAAAUGCGUAGGGAUGUGGAGGAACACCAGUGGCGAAGGCGACUCUCUGGUCUGUAACUGACGCUGAGGAGCGAAAGCGUGGGGAGCGGACAGGAUUAGAGACCCCAGUAGUCCCUGUCUCUUAUAC